RNAcentral lists this ribosomal RNA (506 nucleotides) under uncultured bacterium. RNAcentral's name for it is "partial 16S ribosomal RNA". It matches the Rfam family "Bacterial small subunit ribosomal RNA", at positions 29 to 523 of the family's 1533-position model. The record is from RNAcentral.
AGUGAACGCUGGCGGUAAGCCUAACACAUGCAAGUCGAACGGCAGCACAGGAGAGCUUGCUCUCUGGGUGGCGAGUGGCGGACGGGUGAGGAAUACAUCGGAAUCUACUUUUUCGUGGGGGAUAACGUAGGGAAACUUACGCUAAUACCGCAUACGACCUACGGGUGAAAGCAGGGGAUCUUCGGACCUUGCGCGAUUGAAUGAGCCGAUGUCGGAUUAGCUAGUUGGCGGGGUAAAGGCCCACCAAGGCGACGAUCCGUAGUUGGUCUGAGAGGAUGAUCAGCCACACUGGAACUGGGACACGGUCCAGACUCCUACGGGAGGCAGCAGUGGGGAAUAUUGGACAAUGGGCGCAAGCCUGAUCCAGCCAUACCGCGUGGGUGAAGAGGGCCUUCGGGUUGUAAAGCCCUUUUGUUGGGAAAGAAAUCCAGCUGGUUAAUACCCGGUUGGGAUGACGGUACCCAAAGAAUAAGCACCGGCUAACUUCGUGCCAGCCGCCGCCGUAA